CGGGCAUUCCUUGAUCUUUCUUUACACUUCAGCACUAUGCGGAAACCUUUUGUUUUAGGACUGAGAAGAGAAAACAGGAGGGAGAAGCCCCCAGGCUGUACACUAGGCAGAAAGAAACAAGUGUGUUGGGAGGCAGAUUGCUAUCAGGCUGGCAGCUCCUGGGAUGCUCCAGGGAUGCGGCUUCACACGGGGCUGCAGCCUGGGUCUGAAACUGCCCCCAGACGCGGCUGUUCCUGCCUGGUUUCCGUGUCAGCCGAUCAGAACAGAAAGUUGGAGCCGAUAUCCCGGCUGUGGCUCCUCUACGAAGGGCUGCCGGCAGCUGCUGUGACAGCCCAGCCCGUGUGCCACCGAGAUCACAUCGCCCAUUCCCGGAAAGACUCCUCACUGCUGCACUAACAGGCACCUGCAAAACGUGAACAUCUCAGGCGAGUGCGGGAUGGGGGCUCUGGCGAGGGCUGAGCGCCAGGACCCAGCCCAGGUUUUAAUCGCUGCCGCGAUGCAACCCGCAGCUCCCAGCCCUGCAGCUCGGCACAGGGAGGAACAACUGCCUUGAGCCCGACUUGUUAUAGCUGCUAAGAGCAUGAAAAAUGAAGCACGAAGGAAAUCACAAGAUUAUGCUAAAUGAUGAGCAUCAUCCCUGAGGUGGGCAGGUUUCACAGAUCUAUCCUGUGUGACAGCAGCAGGCUGGGGAGAACCUGAUUUUGAAUGACACAGAGUGCAGAGCAUUGUGAGUCGAGGACACAGGCUGCAAUCAACAAGAACCAGUGAGAUAAAACAGAUGCUCAGUGUACACACUGUCCAUGGAGUGUGAAGGAGCUCUCCAGGUGAGGCAUGCCUGGACAAGGUGUGCUCCACCUGUAAGCACAAUGCUGCUGGCUGGCCACUGCCAUGCAGCCCAUGGAGAAAUGCCCCAGGGGCAGGAAAAGCUGGCACUCCUGGAGCCCAGGCAGCAUUAAGGAUAGAAUCUGCUGUGUCCUGCUGGCAGAAAAAUGUCCCACUGUAUUUGCCAGAGCCACACGGUGAGAGGGUGCUCCUCACAGACUGGCUUUGACAUGGCAAAUACCAACACAGCCUCUGCUCUUGGCAGCAUUUCAGAGCAGGACUUUCACAGGGAUUAACUGUUCCUGAACAAUUUCUCCAAUAUAUAAGAUACAAAUGUUCUUUUCUUCCAAUCAGUCAUGCAGGUCUUUCUUGUACAAACACUGUGGCCAGUAAAGGGAAAAUCCUGCCCUCGAGUUAUGCCAAAUGCCCUCAGUGCUCCUGUGGCAGUUCCAUGGGUGCUGAUGGAGAGCAGGGGUGUGUUCCUCAGGGCACAGGGUCUCUCCAGCACUUUGUCCCUGCACACCUGCUCUCAGGAAGAAAACCUGUACCUGAGAUCUUGUCCUUCUCUAAGGAACCAGCAGCCAGAACUCAACAAGUCCCAAUUCAAACCCAUGUUGGUGGUGCUCCGUCAGAAACCAACGGAUGUUUCCUGUCUCUGUUAAAAAUACUCAUAUUGUCGCCUGUGGUGGCAAGUAAAGGACAUGGCAACUCCUAGACCCCCAGUCUGCUCUGGAACAGGGGUUCACAGGCAUCAUAAUUUCUACUGUGGCAGUGUUUGAGUUUUUUGUCAUUAACAACACCUUGAUUUUGCAUCAGAACUUGGUCCUCUGGCUUGUGUUUCUCAGACUGUACAUAAAUAUCACAUUUGCACCAGUUCUAUCAGAGAUUUUUAUGAAUAGCUGCCAUCGUAAACUGAUAAACAUCUCUAAAUUUUUCUUUUAUUUUGAUUUCAUGUUGAUGUGGCUAUCAAAGCUCUACCACAUCAAAGCAAAUGUUCAUCAAAGUCCAUAGGAUUUCUAAUGUAAUCACCAUCCAAAACCUGAAAGAAACAUUAUGGGAAGGAUUAGUUUGGUUUCAGACAACUGAAUUAGGCAACUGAAUUAAACAAAAUUCCCAUUGAUAUUCAGUAGCAUUUUGGCAGAUAAGUCCUAGAAGCCCUCUGGAAAUCCUGGACCAGGCCAGUGGGUGAUGCACCAUUUCAGCACUGUGCUCAGUAAUUUUAUCCUCAAACAAUUUUAGUUAGGGGCACUCCCAACAUCUAUCUCACAAAUUACUGGUGGAGUCACAUCCCCUGCAGCACUGCUAGGAUAUUGUAUCAUGCAUCUUUUUUAGCUUAUGACUGGAAAAGAUAAGAUCUGAAAAGAAUUUGGAGGUGAGGUAGGUGAUGAAAUUCUGGUGCUGUGUUUGAAUACAUCAGGCAGGAAUUGUUUUGAGUCCUGAAUAUGUAUUUGAUUUCCACAGGCUUCCAGGUGAGCAUCUUUUGCAGAGAGAGUACAAGCACUGAUAUGCAGAUAGAACACAAUAACUAUCAAUAAUCCAAUGACACCUGAAAAAUCAGGGAAUACAUUAUUCCAUAAUAGCAGAUGAACUAAGAGCCAUUCAUUUCUCUAACAUUAGAUGCCUGUGUUGUCUCAAGCCUGGUUCAUAUGCAUAGGUAAAUAUGAGUUAAAUCAUCUCUUUCAGGACGCUUAUCAGCCUCUGCUGCUCUUUGCACUGAAGGUGUAAUAACAGUCAUAACAGCAGGGACAAGGGCAUGGACACCACUGCAGUUUUGACCUUUCUCCAGCUCCUUGGUGGUGAUCUGGCAAGGGCAUACUUUUAUUUAAUCCACACCACUGGGCAUUGUUCCUUUGGUGUUUAGUGCAGGUGUGAACACAGGCAGUUGCUUAGAUGAAUAUACAGAAUAAAUGCAGUUUAGUCAUCACGUAUGAUAAACUGUGGGAAAAGCAGCGAGCUGCUGCGACACUCCUGGUGGCAGUAGCUUUAUGGAAAUGAGGACACAAGGCAGUGAUUUUCUGUAAGGCCCACUAGGUAAAUUCUGGGAAGCAGGUAACCAGGUUAGGUCCUAAUGAGACAAGCACAGAUUGCACAGGUUGUGCUACGUCUUGCUGAGGCACAAGUGGGUAGUAGCAAAUGGACAUGCUGGGAUCUGCUUGCUGGCUCCCAAGCUGGGAGAAAGGUAACCACAAAAACACAGAGAGUGGAAAAAAUUAUUCCAUGCUUUUAGGGCACCUACAUCAAACACAUCGGGGAAGCAAAGUUCCAACACAGGAAAACAGAGAGCAGCACUACUUUCUGAUCACUAUUUUCUGAUGGCUCGUCUGCUUGCAGGUUAGUCAGACCUGCCUGUUCACUCCUGCAUGGAGAGCAAUCUGCCAGAGGAGCUGCCAAAUUAUCCUGACAUCUUACAGUAGGCAGCCUGUUACCUGAACAUGAAACAGGCUUUGCUUUGUGGAGAGGAUCCCCUCUGUAGAAGCCUUGCAGCGAGGCAGCACAGCUCCUGUGACAGCCUCUGCUACACCAGCCCUGUGCUGAGGUGGGGUGUGAGGCUCACAGCUGAAAUGUGCCUUUCUCAUCCCUUUUAUGUCACAAUGCAUCUGUAUUUCUAGGCAGGAGCACUUUCCCUUCUUCCAUUUUACCUUACAAUGAAGCAAAGCAAACAAAGAGGUAGCAAGCCCCUGAACAUCAAGGGGGAGAAUACACACAUAUUCUGGGGCUGUCCGGGUUAUAGACCCGCGCUGGUGUGACACAGCAGACGCAGCUUCCCCAUUGUCCUGGUGACCCCAGCUGAGCUGGCAGGAAUGGCCCUGGGCGGGGGAGAGAAGGAUCAGCUGUGGGCCUGAUCCCAGCUGCACCAACCAGCUUUGUGACAGGCAAUAAAGGGCCAAAGAAAAGACUUUUGUCCUUGAUUGCGAGAGCGACGAAGCUCCUCUCAUUGGCAGG
Long non-coding RNA from Passer montanus (Eurasian tree sparrow), 3765 nucleotides. RefSeq lists it as uncharacterized. The record is from RefSeq and is a predicted model, not a curated record. Lineage: Eukaryota; Metazoa; Chordata; Aves; Passeriformes; Passeridae. The transcript is spliced from 3 exons.